CUUGAUAAAAUUCAAAUGAAGGUCAAACUAUCCAUAUGCCUAAGAUUUAUAAUAUUCCUAGCUUAACAGGACAUAGAAUUCUAUUCAUGGAUAAACUACUCAUCAGAGGAAAGUCCAGAAGGGAAGUGACCAAACAAUCUAAAAAUUAUUUUAAAGUAGCUGGGAGCAUUAGACAAAAAAAUGCUUAAAUAAACCCACAGAGACAUAUGAUGUAUCCAGAAAAUGUUACAUAAAAAUAGAAAUCUGAGUGUUGCUACUGGCUAAGCAGUUAGACUUGGCUUUCCUCUGAAGCACAUAGGUCAACUGGCUAAAAGAAAUGCCAAUAAUCCAGCAUGUGGGGCAAGAUAAAGGAUUCCAUUUUAUUCUAGUUUUCUUAGGUCAAGAAUUAUACCAUUGCAUUCACAAUCACUUUGUUCCAUUACUUUAUUGUUUUAUUACUUUACAUUACUCCUACUUUUGUCCUACACCAUUUUCCACAAGUUCCAAAAAAUAUCAUUAUAGUGCUUAUGAACUGUAUAACUAGGACUAAAAACGAAAUAAUGUUGGGGGAGGAGAGGGGGCAGAGAGAGAUUACCACUAAUUUGAUUAAGCCCAAGGUCUGAAAUCUGGUCACAAUAAUUAA
This 622-nucleotide unclassified non-coding RNA is filed under the name Hevea brasiliensis (rubber tree). Lineage: Eukaryota; Viridiplantae; Streptophyta; Magnoliopsida; Malpighiales; Euphorbiaceae. The record is from RNAcentral.